CUACGUGCCAGCAGCCGCGGUAAUACGUAGGUCCCGAGCGUUGUCCGGAUUUAUUGGGCGUAAAGCGAGCGCAGGCGGUUAGAUAAGUCUGAAGUUAAAGGCUGUGGCUUAACCAUAGUACGCUUUGGAAACUGUUUAACUUGAGUGCAAGAGGGGAGAGUGGAAUUCCAUGUGUAGCGGUGAAAUGCGUAGAUAUAUGGAGGAACACCGGUGGCGAAAGCGGCUCUCUGGCUUGUAACUGACGCUGAGGCUCGAAAGCGUGGGGAGCAAACAGGAUUAGAUGCCCUGGUAGUCCACGCCGUAAACGAUGAGUGCUAGGUGUUAGACCCUUUCCGGGGUUUAGUGCCGCAGCUAACGCAUUAAGCACUCCGCCUGGGGAGUACGACCGCAAGGUUGAAACUCAAAGGAAUUGACGGGGGCCCGCACAAGCGGUGGAGCAUGUGGUUUAAUUCGAAGCAACGCGAAGAACCUUACCAGGUCUUGACAUCCCUCUGACCGCUCUAGAGAUAGAGUUUUCUUCGGGACA
This 526-nucleotide ribosomal RNA is filed under the name uncultured bacterium. RNAcentral's name for it is "bacterial SSU rRNA". It matches the Rfam family "Bacterial small subunit ribosomal RNA", at positions 501 to 1028 of the family's 1533-position model. The record is from RNAcentral.